AACGGUCUAUACCUGCGGUACCUGCGGAAGGAUCAUUAACGAGUUAGGGUCCCCUGGGCCCGACCUCCCAACCCAUUGUUUACCAAACCAUUUGUUGCUUCGGCGAGCCCGUCUUCACGGACCGCCGGGGGACCCUUACAGGUCUCCUGGCCCGCGCUCGUCGGUAGCCCCAACCUUGAAACUCUUUUAAUUAAACGUGUUUUGACUAAGUACCAAUUUUAUAAUUAAAAAGCAAAAAAC
Molecule: unclassified non-coding RNA, 240 nt
Filed under: soil metagenome
Description: partial contains 5.8S ribosomal RNA, internal transcribed spacer 2, and large subunit ribosomal RNA
Source: RNAcentral